RNAcentral lists this ribosomal RNA (434 nucleotides) under uncultured eukaryote. RNAcentral describes it as "bacterial SSU rRNA". It matches the Rfam family "Eukaryotic small subunit ribosomal RNA", at positions 149 to 570 of the family's 1831-position model. The record is from RNAcentral.
GUAGUAACAUAGAGCUAAUACAUGCAAAUACUUUUUUCUGUAAGGAGAAAAGGCACUUAUUAGAUUACAAAACCAAGAACAUGUAAAAGUGUUUUAUAAUGGUGAUUCAUAGUAAGGUUGGAAAUCGUAUGGGAGUAAUCCUGACGAUAUAUCAUUCAAAUUUCUGCCCUAUCAACUUUGGAUGGUAGUAUAGAGGACUACCAUGGUGAUAACGGGUAACGGAGAAUUAGGGUUUUGAUUCCGGAGAGGGGAGCCCUUGAGAAAAUGGCUACCACUUCUAAGGAGGGCAGCAGGCGCGCAAAUUACCCAAUCCUAAUACAGGGAGGUAGUGACAAUAAAUAACAAUAGCUGGGAUUCAAAAGUCUUAGCAAUUGGAAUGAGAACAAUUUAAACCCCUUAACGAGUUAACAAUUAGAGGGCAAGUCUGGUGCCAG